GAUGAACGCUAGCGGGAGGCCUAACACAUGCACGCCGAGCGGUAUUGUUUCUUCGGAAAUGAGAGAGCGGCGUACGGGUGCGUAACACGUGUGCAACCUGACAUUAUCUGCGGGAUAGCCUUUCGAAAGGAAGAUUAAUACUCCAUAACAUUUUGACCGGCAUCGUUUAAUAUUGAAAGCUCCGGCGGAAAGAGAUGGGCAUGCGCAAGAUUAGCUAGUUGGUGAGGUAACGGAUCACACAGGCGAUGAUCUUGAGGGGGCCUGAGAGGGUGUUCCCCCACCAUGGUACUGAGACACGGACCAGACUCCUACGGGGGGCAGCAGUGAGGAAUAUUGGUCAAUGGGUGCAAGCCUGAACCAGCCAUCCCGCGUGAAGGACGACUGCCCUAUGGGUUGUAAACUUCUUUUGUAUAGGGAUAAACCUACCCUCGUGAGGGUAGCUGAAGGGACUAUACGAAUAAGCACCGGCUAACUCCGUGCCAGCAGCCGCGGUAA
RNAcentral lists this ribosomal RNA (495 nucleotides) under uncultured bacterium. Its description in RNAcentral is "partial 16S ribosomal RNA". It matches the Rfam family "Bacterial small subunit ribosomal RNA", at positions 28 to 523 of the family's 1533-position model. The record is from RNAcentral.